AUUGAACGCUGGCGGAAUGCUUUACACAUGCAAGUCGAACGGCAGCACGGGGGCAACCCUGGUGGCGAGUGGCGAACGGGUGAGUAAUACAUCGGAACGUGCCCAGUCGUGGGGGAUAACGCAGCGAAAGUUACGCUAAUACCGCAUACGAUCUACGGAUGAAAGCGGGGGACCGUAAGGCCCCGCGCGAUUGGAGCGGCCGAUGUCAGAUUAGGUAGUUGGUGAGGUAAAGGCUCACCAAGCCGACGAUCUGUAGCUGGUCUGAGAGGACGACCAGCCACACUGGGACUGAGACACGGCCCAGACUCCUACGGGAGGCAGCAGUGGGGAAUUUUGGACAAUGGGCGCAAGCCUGAUCCAGCCAUUCCGCGUGCAGGACGAAGGCCUUCGGGUUGUAAACUGCUUUUGUACGGAACGAAAAGGCUCUGGUUAAUACCUGGGGCUCAUGACGGUACCGUAAGAAUAAGCACCGGCUAACUACGUGCCAGCCGCCGCGGUAA
RNAcentral lists this ribosomal RNA (500 nucleotides) under uncultured bacterium. RNAcentral describes it as "partial 16S ribosomal RNA". It matches the Rfam family "Bacterial small subunit ribosomal RNA", at positions 30 to 523 of the family's 1533-position model. The record is from RNAcentral.